This 218-nucleotide long non-coding RNA is filed under the name Coffea arabica (coffee). RNAcentral describes it as "long non-coding RNA (CARA_LNC000191)". The record is from RNAcentral. Lineage: Eukaryota; Viridiplantae; Streptophyta; Magnoliopsida; Gentianales; Rubiaceae.
UUUGGUGUUCAAGCAGAAUUUUCGGCCCUCUAUUACCCCAGAAAAACCGUGAUUUCCAGCCCUUUUUUGCAGCUCAAAAUGCUCCUCAAGUAUCAAGCUAGGUGUGGUGCAAGUUUGGUUGAAUUUGGAGAUGAUUUGGGGUUGGUUUGAGUGAAAUUUGUGAGGAGAAAUUUUGAAGCAAAGGAGUUAGAGAGAGGAGGGUGUUGGCCGGCUGUCUU